GUGUUGGCUAUCAUUGUUGUCUGGUGCUCAUUAGUAAUAACAGUUUAUCUGUUUUGCUGACUGUCUGUUAUAGAGAAUUCUUUGAUUUGUUGUUGGUGUUUGUGUCUUCUUCAAAGGAUCUCUUGUCUCGUACUGUAAUUGUCUGGAUUCUUAGUAUGUUUGAGUUGAAAUAUUGUUUCUAGAAAUCCUUUUCUCUUGAUUUAUUUCUCUAGGUUGUUGUGUAUAUGCCUGUUUUGUUAAAUCUGUAAUGGUUCAUACAGAUGUAUGUUCAGGUUGUGAAGUUUUUUUUUUUUUUUUUUUUUUUUUUUUUGCAUAGGAAUUUGGUGUUAACCGACAUGAAUCUCUUUGGGAGGAAAGUGGUGGUUUAGACAUGUUUGCCACCUGAAUGAAGGGGGCAUGUUAAAAAUGAUAUUUUGGGCUGUCAUCCAGGUUGCAACAUGAUCUUAUGUGUGAUAGGUUGGGUAUUAUUAACAUGCAUAGUAUAUGAAUGAUGGGGGAAUGUUGAAAAAUAAGAAAUUAAUUCAUAUACUAUGGUUAUGUUAUAAUCAUUGAUCAUUCAUAUGUUAUAUGUUGGGUUAUUGUUACAGGACUCGUUAUUAAGUGGGCCUGUGUUAAUUGGGCUUGAUAUAACAGAUACAUACAUUUGGUGAACUUGAGGUUUGUUAUGUUGUUUAGUUUGUUAUAACAGAUACAUACAUACAUUUGUUUAAGUAUGGCAGGUUGAUUAAAGGUUAAGGGUGCUAGAUGUAAACUUUGAGGGACUCCGAUCAUCUUUUCACAUAUAUUUGGACUGAUGUGUAAAUGUUAAGGCUGGAAAUAUAAAAAGCAUCAGAUGUGCUUGUUACAUUAGCUGUCCAGAUUAGUUUUCCCCAAAUUUUUUCCACUCUCAUAGUUUCUCUCAUGUGCAAAGGCGAUUAGGGUUUCGAGACUCUUCUUUUGUCAUCGCAGCUCACUUCUUAUCAUCUGGACACACAUCAGAUUUUGAGGGUAACUGAUCUGUGGAGAUCUGCUGUGAUUUGUUCGUCUUGUUGUUAAUAUUUAUCUGUUCAUCUCGUUGUUAAUCUUGCAUAUGAGAUCUUGAUUCUGUGUAGACUAGGUUGUAUACUUUCCUAUAUCUUUCCUGUCUUUGUAUUUGAAGAUCAACUGAUUGUUUAAUCAGUCGAUCUAAAACAUAUGUUUGUCAGGUCUUACUCCGUGUAAGAUCAAGGGUAUUGGUUGGGUGUUUUUGGUUUGGGUUAACUAAUAAGAGUUUUACGUUAUUUUUAUCGCUUAUUUUGUGUUCUUUGUUAUUUCUGAAAUUAUGUUGUGCAUUCUUCAUAUCAUUUUGACAUGGUAUCAGAGCCUAUAAGGCUCCGAUUCUUUGUUCUUCCACUGCUGAUAGUGUUCUUCCGCUCAUUCGGGUGUUAUUCAAUUUUUUAUUGGGGUUUUUUUUUGAAGUUUAAUAUGUUGUAAAGGUUUUCAGUUCUAAGUUUAUGCUUGUGGUUCAUGAUAUUAAAGUUAAGAUCAGAUCGACGUGUUGUUUACCUGAUUUGACGGUUUUUCCUUGGAGAUUUGUAAUUCUGAAACCCUAACCUAGGGUUUGUUGAAGAGUCAGGUUACUUCUUUUAUCAAAUUUGCCUAGGUUUAACUUCUUUGAUUCUGUUUUAAUGUAAAGAAAAAGAAAAUUUGGUGGUGCUGGUGUUAUUGCAUCAGAUUUGACAUGUUUAGGACUUCCUCUAAAAUUAGAAGAAGACAAAGAGUAAUACUGCUGAAUUUCUUGGGUUGGUGUCUUCCUUAUAGAACCGAAAUCUGAAGAUACGAGCUAUCCAAACAACAAACCCUAACUGAAGAUUUGUGUGAUUCAGUUCGUUGUUUGGCUGUUAACUACUGAAUUUGGUGUUAACCGACAUGAAUCUCUUUGGGAGGAAAGUGGUGGUUUAGACAUGUUUGCCACCUGAAUGAAGGGGGCAUGUUAAAAAUGAUAUUUUGGGCUGUCAUCCAGGUUGCAACAUGAUCUUAUGUGUGAUAGGUUGGGUAUUAUUAACAUGCAUAGUAUAUGAAUGAUGGGGGAAUGUUGAAAAAUAAGAAAUUAAUUCAUAUACUAUGGUUAUGUUAUAAUCAUUGAUCAUUCAUAUGUUAUAUGUUGGGUUAUUGUUACUGGACUUGUUAUUAAGUGGGCCUGUGUUAAUUGGGCUUGAUAUAACAGAUACAUACAUUUGGUGAACUUGAGGUUUGUUAUGUUGUUUAGUUUGUUAUAACAGAUACAUACAUACAUUUGUUUAAGUAUGGCAGGUUGAUUAAAGGUUAAGGGUGCUAGAUGUAAACUUUGAGGGACUCCGAUCAUCUUUUCACAUAUAUUUGGACUGAUGUGUAAAUGUUAAGGCUGGAAAUAUAAAAAGCAUCAGAUUUGCUUGUUACAUUAGCUGUCCAGAUUAGUUUCCCCAAAUUUUUUCCACUCUCACAGUUUCUCUCAUGUGCAAAGGCGAUUAGGGUUUCGAGACUCUUCUUUUGUCAUCGCAGCUCUCUUCUUAUCAUCUGGACACACAUCAGAUUCUGAGGGUAACUGAUCUGUGGAGAUCUGCUGUGAUUUGUUCGUCUUGUUGUUAAUAUUUAUCUGUUCAUCUCGUUGUUAAUCUCGCAUGUGAGAUCUUGAUUCUGUGUAGACCAGGUUGUAUACUUUCCUAUAUCUUUCCUGUCUUUGUAUUUGAAGAUCAACUGAUUCUUUAAUCAGUCGAUCUAAAACAUAUGUUUGUCAGGUCUUACUCCGUGUAAGAUCAAGGGUAUUGGUUGGGUGUUUUUGGUUUGGGUUAACUAAUAAGAGUUUUACGUCAUGUUUUAUCGCUUA
This is a long non-coding RNA of Helianthus annuus (common sunflower), 2824 nucleotides long. RefSeq lists it as uncharacterized. The transcript is spliced from 2 exons. NCBI's taxonomy places the organism in Eukaryota, Viridiplantae, Streptophyta, Magnoliopsida, Asterales, Asteraceae. The record is from RefSeq and is a predicted model, not a curated record.